Molecule: ribosomal RNA, 230 nt
Filed under: uncultured bacterium
Lineage: Bacteria
Description: partial 16S ribosomal RNA
Rfam family: Bacterial small subunit ribosomal RNA
Source: RNAcentral
AAAGGGUCCGCAGGCGGAUGUAUAAGUCAGUGGUGAAAUCCUAUCGCUUAACGAUAGAACUGCCAUUGAUACUGUACGUCUUGAAUUCGGUCGAAGUGGGCGGAAUGUGUAGUGUAGCGGUGAAAUGCAUAGAUAUUACACAGAACACCGAUAGCGAAGGCAGCUCACUAGGCCUGGAUUGACGCUCAGGGACGAAAGCGUGGGGAUCAAACAGGAUUAGAUACCCCGGU